UUUUAUUCGUAAUAUACGUGUUUUAAGUCUAUAAAAAAAAAAAAAAAAAAAAAACCAAAAAAAAAACAAAAAAAUUUAAUACUACCUAUUACUAACCUAUACGCUCAUAAACGCGACUAUAUAAUAUGACCUAAUUUAAUUUUACGCCGUUUAAUAUUAUAACCGUGUUAAUACCCGCUAACACAUUACCCGUAACAUUGCGUUAUUGAUGGAUUAAUAAUGUUCAAACGGUCGAUAUAUUAUUAUUAUACCGAUAAAUGCUUUUUUCGGUGUUAUUCUUCUCUUUACGCAUAAGUCUGUUACUAUCGCUGUUAUUGCCGUUACGGUACCGUAUUUAAAGGCGCCGUGAUACCCGCACGAUAUGCGCCGUCGCCGUCUUGUGGACGUAAGACACUGUAAAUUUGCGUUCUGCCGUGCCGUUAGUUUUAAUGAUUUUCGAGCGAAUUGACCGUAGACAGUACACGCUGAAUGCCAAAUAGUUAGUUGGUUGACGAUAAAAUAGUAAAAUAAAAUAAAAUAAUUAAACUGGUGGUCAAUGCUCGUAAGUAAAUACAUAGUAAACAAAUAUGAAAAUAAAAAACGAACAAAUGAAUAAAUGCGUCGCCCGG
Non-coding RNA from Cinara cedri, 608 nucleotides. Lineage: Eukaryota; Metazoa; Arthropoda; Insecta; Hemiptera; Aphididae. The record is from the annotation of a GenBank genome assembly.